AUGAGCUGGAGGAGAGGGGGAGGGGACGGGGCCGUGGCCAGGCGGUGGGUGCUCCUGCUCUGCGCCGGGAGCUUCUCCCUCGGCCUGCUCUUCACCUCCGGGAUGUGGACAUUGCCCGAGGCAACCGAGGUUGCCAAGCCAAACGAAACAAGAGGGAAAGAGGCCGAGCUCGCCGCCGUAGACUGUGAUUCUACUAAGGUCGGACGGAAACAUGAUUUCAGAGAUACGCUACAGGCCUUGGACACUCACAACGCUGUACAGACACUGGACAAGACGAUAGCAAAUCUGGAGACAGAGCUUUCGGCUGCAAGGACACUGCAGGAGUCAUUCCUCAACGGCUCUCCGGUUUCGCAAGAGUACAAGGCCUCCGAAUCGUCCGGAAGGCGCAAGUACCUCAUGGUCAUCGGCAUCAACACGGCUUUCAGUAGCCGUAAGAGGAGGGAUUCCAUCCGCAACACCUGGAUGCCACAAGGAGAGAAGAGGAAAAAACUGGAAGAAGAGAAGGGCAUCAUAAUUCGUUUUGUCAUUGGUCACAGUGCUAUUUCAGGUGGAAUUGUGGACAGGGCAAUCGCGGCAGAGGAUAGGAAACAUGGAGACUUCAUGAGGCUUGAUCAUGUGGAAGGAUACCUUGAAUUAUCUGGAAAAACCAAGACAUAUUUUGCGACGGCUGUUGCUUUAUGGGAUGCUAACUUCUAUGUCAAAGUUGAUGAUGAUGUGCAUGUAAAUAUAGCCACCCUUGGGCAGAUUUUGUCCAAACAUAUUUCGAGGCCCAGGGUAUAUACUGGAUGCAUGAAGUCUGGUCCUGUGCUAUCCGACAAGGAAGUCAGAUAUUAUGAACCCGAGCACUGGAAAUUCGGGGAUAAAUAUUUCCGACAUGCCACCGGUCAGCUUUAUGCUAUUUCAAAAGAUUUGGCAACCUACAUCUCCCUAAAUAAGCAUGUGUUGCACAAGUAUGUCAACGAGGAUGUUUCUUUGGGGGCUUGGUUCAUAGGGUUAGAUGUUGAGCAUAUUGAUGACCGUCGACUAUGCUGCGGUACCCCACCAGAUUGCGAGUGGAAAGCCCAGGCGGGGAACACCUGCGCGGCCUCAUUCGACUGGAGAUGCAGCGGCAUAUGCAACACCGUGGAGAACAUCCAGGGAGUGCACAACAAAUGCGGGGAGAGCGAAAAGGCGCUCUGGACCGCUUCUUUCUAA
RNAcentral lists this ribosomal RNA (1194 nucleotides) under Triticum aestivum (bread wheat). Its description in RNAcentral is "partial small subunit ribosomal RNA". The record is from RNAcentral. Lineage: Eukaryota; Viridiplantae; Streptophyta; Magnoliopsida; Poales; Poaceae.